CACGUAGGAGGCAAACGUUAUCCGGAUUUACUGGGCGUAAAGCGCGUGUAGGUGGUUCUGUAAGUAGGGCGUGAAAGCUCCCGGCUCAACUGGGAGAGGCCGUUCUAAACUGCAGAGCUAGAGGAUGGUAGAGGGAGGUGGAAUUCCAGGUGUAGCGGUGGAAUGCGCAGAUAUCUGGAGGAACACCAGUGGCGAAGGCGGCCUCCUGGACCAUUCCUGACACUCAGACGCGAAAGCUAGGGUAGCAAACGGGAUUAGAUACCCGUGUAGU
This 271-nucleotide ribosomal RNA is filed under the name uncultured prokaryote. RNAcentral describes it as "partial 16S ribosomal RNA". It matches the Rfam family "Bacterial small subunit ribosomal RNA", at positions 524 to 794 of the family's 1533-position model. The record is from RNAcentral.